AUGAGACAAGACUUACCAUUGCACCAGUGUUCUACAAUACACAAGUGGAUUUGAUGGGUCCCUUUGAAGCCCGAUGUGAACACAAUCAUCGUAGUAAGGUCAAGGUAUGGGUGUGUUGUGUUCAAAGAUCCCGCAACUUCAGCUGUUUUUGUGCAUGCUAUGCAGAAAUAUGAUACUGGAGCAUUUCUGGAUGCAUAUACUAGAUUCACUUCAAGAUUCUCUCAUCCUAAUAAGUUAUACAUUGAUGAAGGAAGCCAGCUAGUAAAAGCAUGUAAGGAGAUGAAAUUCAAUAUAUUGGAUAUCACAAAAUCUCUAAACUCCAAGGUGAUGACUGGAAUUGAAUAUGUGACCUGUCCUGUUGGCGGACACAAUGCCCAUGGAAUGGUAGAAAGAUCCAUCUGAGAGAUCAAGACGUUGUUUACAACUGUGUAUUCUGGUCUGAGACUUGACAUCAUGAGUUAUGAAACAGCCUUUGCAUGGACAUCAAAUGAAUUGAAUAAUCUUCCUUUAUGUCUAGGAUCAAAGUAUGUCAAUCUUGAGCACACAGACCUCAUAACCCCCUCCAGAUUAUUGUUUGGUAGAAACAAUAAACGAGCACCUUCUGGAUUUUGUACCCUUGAUAAACCAUCAAGACUUUUAGAACAAAUGGAGAUGGUGGAGAAAUCUUGGUGGCAAACUUGGAAACAAGAGAAGCUGUCUGAUUUUAUCCCCAAGUUGUCAAAGUGGAUUACAGGAGAUGAGUAUAAACCUAAACCAGGAGAUAUUGUUAUCUUCACCCGAGAAGAGAAUGAUCACCAAUUAGGAUCACCAGUGUGGAGGACUGGCCACAUUCAAUCAGUUGAAAGAUCAGUCCCAGACUUUCAUUAAAGGAGAUCUAUACCCUUAUAUUUACAGGGAAAAUGUUCUACCUUCUGCAAAGUGUACUUUUAAACCUUUGAAUCUUCCCAAGAUUGGUAAACUGCCCUAAGCUGAAACCUUAAUAUAGGUAUAUCAUUUAACACUGAAUUAACAAACUAAUCAAGUAUGUUGAAUUUGCUGAUUUAGAUAAUCAGCCUAAACAGUUAAAUCAUUCUACUAUGAUGUCAAAGUCUCCUACUAAGAUGUAGCAGAUUGGAAUUAUCACCAAGAUAAUCAGCUAAUAUACUGAUCAGCUUCCUACCAAGUUGCCCAAUUCUCCUACUAAGAAAUAGUGAACCAGAGUUAUUAUCAAGAUAAUCAGCCAGCACAAUUGAGCAACCUUCUACUAAGAUGUACAGUUAGUCAAUCUUCCACCUAAAUAUUCCAGUCUUCUACUAAGAUGUA
Molecule: long non-coding RNA, 1302 nt
Organism: Eurytemora carolleeae
Lineage: Eukaryota; Metazoa; Arthropoda; Copepoda; Calanoida; Temoridae
Exons: 3
Source: RefSeq, a predicted model, not a curated record